This 253-nucleotide ribosomal RNA is filed under the name Holdemanella biformis DSM 3989. Its description in RNAcentral is "partial 16S ribosomal RNA". It matches the Rfam family "Bacterial small subunit ribosomal RNA", at positions 524 to 776 of the family's 1533-position model. The record is from RNAcentral. Lineage: Bacteria; Bacillati; Bacillota; Erysipelotrichia; Erysipelotrichales; Erysipelotrichaceae. RNAcentral also lists the same sequence under 2 other names.
UACGUAGGUGGCGAGCGUUAUCCGGAAUGAUUGGGCGUAAAGGGUGCGUAGGUGGCAGAUCAAGUCUGGAGUAAAAGGUAUGGGCUCAACCCGUACUGGCUCUGGAAACUGAUCAGCUAGAGAACAGAAGAGGACGGCGGAACUCCAUGUGUAGCGGUAAAAUGCGUAGAUAUAUGGAAGAACACCGGUGGCGAAGGCGGCCGUCUGGUCUGGAUUCUGACACUGAAGCACGAAAGCGUGGGGAGCAAAUAGG